UUCUAAUAAGUACCUUUGAUUGCAUCAUAUGUGUUGGAUGUGAGAAUAUUAGGUGCUGGAUCCGUAAUCAUAUAUAGGAUCCAUUCAUACUCUAGAACUAUUUGUAACUUCUGAUACCAAUUAUCGAAGUUGGAUCCUUUAAGUCAAUCACUGUCAAACAGUAAAAUAGCAACAGACAUCUAGCCAUAACUGAAAGAAAAACACAAGACCUCUAUAUUUAUGAAUUGAUUAAGUCUAAAGACUUGGACUUUAGUCUAAAGGUUCUUCCACUAUUUUAAUCAAAUUGAUAGCCUCUACCUUCAAUUUGAAAAAUUAUCUUAAUUUCUUAGUGGAUACUAGAAUCCACACAGAUUGUAUACAGGCUCGAGAAUGGCUCGAUCAACCUAUAUGCACCUAUAGAU
Molecule: long non-coding RNA, 401 nt
Filed under: Elaeis guineensis (African oil palm)
Lineage: Eukaryota; Viridiplantae; Streptophyta; Magnoliopsida; Arecales; Arecaceae
Description: long non-coding RNA (EGUI_LNC020913)
Source: RNAcentral